This 610-nucleotide unclassified non-coding RNA is filed under the name Maguireanthus ayangannae. RNAcentral describes it as "partial contains external transcribed spacer and small subunit ribosomal RNA". Lineage: Eukaryota; Viridiplantae; Streptophyta; Magnoliopsida; Myrtales; Melastomataceae. The record is from RNAcentral.
CGCGUCUAGCAGGCUUGUAUGGGUUGCAUUUCGAUCCUCCGGUGCCUCUUCCUGCGGAGGAGUCGGCGGAGCUUUCGAUGCACCUCGUCUUGUGAUGGGAAGACGCGUGAGUGGCGAUUAGGAUAUGUUUCCCGUGCAGGCUCCGUGUAUGUCGCAUCGAACUGCUUGGGUCUAUCUAUUUCAUCCGUUGUUUCGCCCCGGCUUUUUCCUGGUCGGCUGCGACGACUCGUUGGGUUCCUGUGCUGUAUAUCGAAAUCGGAAGUCGGAUGGAACGUUGUUCCCCGUCCGUCUUGGUUUACUUGCUCCCCCCUGCCUCGUGCGGCGGCGGAGGGUAUUGUGCGGGCAUCGACGUUCUCCUCACGAGCAGAUUCUUCCAUCGUUGGGCGCUUCUGCUUGUGACGGCACGUAAGAUGCUGUCGGCACUCUCGGGUACGGAAAACUUAUGGCCAUCGCAUCGGCCGUCGACCCUUGCGAGCGUAAAGUGUGGCGAAGCUCUCUCGCUUCCGAACAUAUGACCCUCGUGCUCGUCCGAGAGCUCGCCGAGCGUCUUCGUUCGGCGUUCUUCUCGGGGAGCUGUCGAGGUCUACGGAGGAAUGCUACCUGGUUGAUC